GACGGACAUGCGCUCCGCGCGCUCGCUCAGUUUCUGGCUGGCUCUCGUAGAGAGCAGACGUGUGUUCUCCGCGCUCGCUCAGUUUCUGCCUGGAAGUUGCUGCGGGGGAAAAGAGCUAUUAUGGUGGCGCCAUCUGGUGUGAUGCCUUGCAACUAAGUGGCCACCUGUCGUCGAUCUCUGCAACUGCUGGGUGCAAACUACCAACAUGGCGGGCGCUGGUCACUCGGGUGUUGCGGAGCGGCUUCUUCGCCGCGGCAUCGUUGAUUUUCGAAUAAAUUGUUUCUCUCCA
Molecule: long non-coding RNA, 289 nt
Organism: Ornithodoros turicata
Lineage: Eukaryota; Metazoa; Arthropoda; Arachnida; Ixodida; Argasidae
Exons: 2
Source: RefSeq, a predicted model, not a curated record